This 65-nucleotide transfer RNA is filed under the name Cryptolestes ferrugineus. RNAcentral's name for it is "tRNA-Trp". The record is from RNAcentral. Lineage: Eukaryota; Metazoa; Arthropoda; Insecta; Coleoptera; Laemophloeidae.
AAGGAUUUAAGUUAAAUUUAAACUAAUAGCCUUCAAAGCUGUAAAUAGAAGCUAUCUAAGCCUUA